This is a long non-coding RNA of Cygnus olor (mute swan), 1175 nucleotides long. RefSeq lists it as uncharacterized. The transcript has 3 exons. Lineage: Eukaryota; Metazoa; Chordata; Aves; Anseriformes; Anatidae. The record is from RefSeq and is a predicted model, not a curated record.
GCAUGGCUGUUUUGUGACCCAGCUGAUGCUCUUUGGCAGUGCAUUGCCCCAGGAACAGGCUGGCCAUGCCUGAGCACCUGGGGAGCUGCAUUGGGACAGAAAGCAUAGUGAAAUGAAACCAUAGCUGAAUUAGUGUGGCUGUGAAAGUGGACGUGGGCUUGGAUUCAUUUGCAAUACCUGAGCCCUGUAAGAUGCAAGGUAAGCUACAAUGAGGUUGUGAAAGCAAGGCGACAAAGCUGACCUAACCUAUGGUGCUGCUGGAGGGGGGAUGCCAAACCGUGUCCCUGUGCCGUCAGCAGGUCCCUUGUGAUACCUGCAGAGAUGUGCUGGUGAUGGGGUAUGUCUCCCCGGAGCCACCCGCUGUCCCCACACCCUGCCAGGGGCACUUGGAAGCCCUGCGAGUACCUGUCAGGGCCAGAGAGCGAGCAGAGCGAUUGCUUUGUGCACAUUAGCGUGGGUGACAACUUCUUAACCUUUCCUUUCUGCUUUGUUGCAGGCACCCUGUAGUCUGCCGAGCAAUUGUAACAGUGGUUGUGCAGGAACAGCAAAAAGAUGACAAAUUCGUUCCUCGAGUGCAGCUGGACACUGGACUGAGAAGCUUGAGAAAGGCAAAGCACUGGCAAGGUGGUCCUGGUGAUCAUACACUGAGCUGAAGAUCUGAAUUUACAUCCUUGUUAAUUCCUGGAGGGACUGUGACAGGCUGGGGGAGUGGACAGCAAGCCAUGAGUUUAACGUACACAAUAUUUAAGAUACAUUUGUUAUCAAACAACUGUAAAACUGAUUUUGUCCCUUUGUCCCAGCACAGGUUUUUCUCCACUUUGUAUUUGCUCCGUGGGAGAAGGGGAAUGGUGGGGGCUUGUUGAAGGGCUGUUGAUUAAACCACGAAAAUGUGAAUAUUGGCACCGAGGCUGGAAAAGAGCAGCGCGGUUGCCCACUCCCCUCUCAGUCCCUACAGGUUUGUUCUUCACCAGGGAUUAUUCUUGCCCUCGUCUGUCCUGUUUGAAAUGUCACAUUUCCUGCUGCAAUUGGAAAGAGCUUUUAUCCGUGGUGUGUGUGUGUGUGUCUGAGGGGGUGUUUUCAUCGCCGCUAGGUGAAUGUUUUAGUAAGCAAUGUCCGACACAUCACACGAAUGCUUGAAAAGAAGCAUUUUGCUGUUACUAAAGACUGUUAUUGCA